Molecule: ribosomal RNA, 581 nt
Filed under: uncultured Acidimicrobiaceae bacterium
Lineage: Bacteria; Bacillati; Actinomycetota; Acidimicrobiia; Acidimicrobiales; Acidimicrobiaceae
Description: bacterial SSU rRNA
Rfam family: Bacterial small subunit ribosomal RNA
Source: RNAcentral
GAGUUUGAUCAUGGCUCAGGACGAACGCUGGCGGCGUGCCUAACACAUGCAAGUCGAACGAGGUUCAGUCAGUAGCAAUACUGACGAAGACCUAGUGGCGAACGGGUGAGUAGCACGUGAGCAACCUGCCCCGAAGACCGGGACAACACCGGGAAACCGGUGCUAAUACCGGAUAGCCCCAUUGAGUCGCAUGGCUCGAUGAGGAAAUGGAUUCCGCUUCGGGAGGGGCUCGCGGCCUAUCAGCUUGUUGGUGAGGUAACGGCUCACCAAGGCUUCGACGGGUAGCUGGUCUGAGAGGACGAUCAGCCACACUGGGACUGAGACACGGCCCAGACUCCUACGGGAGGCAGCAGUGGGGAAUCUUGCACAAUGGGCGAAAGCCUGAUGCAGCAACGCCGCGUGAGGGACGAAGGCUUUCUGAGUUGUAAACCUCUUUCAGCAGGGACGAUUGUGACGGUACCUGCAGAAGAAGCCCCGGCCAACUACGUGCCAGCAGCCGCGGUAAUACGUAGGGGGCAAGCGUUGUCCGGAUUUAUUGGGGCGUAAAGAGCUCGUAGGCGGCUUGGCAAGUCGGAUGUGAA